GACGAACGCUGGCGGCGUGCUUAACACAUGCAAGUUGAACGAGAAUUUUUCGAGUGAUUUCUUCGGAAUGGUCAUGAAAACGGAAAGUAGCGAACGGGUGAGUAACACGUGAGAAACCUGCCUUUCACAAAGGGAUAGCCUCGGGAAACCGGGAUUAAUACCUUAUGAAACCAAACACUCGCAUGAGAGAUUGGUUAAAGAUUUAUCGGUGUUAGAUGGUCUCGCGUCUGAUUAGCUAGUUGGUGGGAUAAAAGCCUACCAAGGCAACGAUCAGUAGCCGGAUAGAGAGGUUGAGCGGCCACACUGGAACUGAGACACGGUCCAGACUCCUACGGGAGGCAGCAGUGGGGAAUUUUGCAAAAUGGAGGAAACUCUGAUGCAGCGACGCCGCGUGAGUGAUGAAGGUCUUCGGAUUGUAAAACUCUGUCCUUAGUGAAGAUAAUGACAGUAACUAAGAAGCAAGCCCUGGCUAAAUACGUG
Molecule: ribosomal RNA, 480 nt
Filed under: uncultured bacterium
Lineage: Bacteria
Description: partial 16S ribosomal RNA
Rfam family: Bacterial small subunit ribosomal RNA
Source: RNAcentral